Molecule: ribosomal RNA, 636 nt
Filed under: uncultured bacterium
Lineage: Bacteria
Description: bacterial SSU rRNA
Rfam family: Bacterial small subunit ribosomal RNA
Source: RNAcentral
CGCGGCCUAUCAGCUUGUUGGUGAGGUAAUGGCUCACCAAGGCGUCGACGGGUAGCCGGCCUGAGAGGGUGACCGGCCACACUGGGACUGAGACACGGCCCAGACUCCUACGGGAGGCAGCAGUGGGGAAUAUUGCACAAUGGGCGGAAGCCUGAUGCAGCAACGCCGCGUGAGGGAUGACGGCCUUCGGGUUGUAAACCUCUUUUAGCAGGGAAGAAGCGAAAGUGACGGUACCUGCAGAAAAAGCGCCGGCUAACUACGUGCCAGCAGCCGCGGUAAUACGUAGGGCGCAAGCGUUAUCCGGAAUUAUUGGGCGUAAAGAGCUCGUAGGCGGUUUGUCGCGUCUGCUGUGAAAACCCGAGGCUCAACCUCGGGCCUGCAGUGGGUACGGGCAGACUAGAGUGCGGUAGGGGAGAUUGGAAUUCCUGGUGUAGCGGUGGAAUGCGCAGAUAUCAGGAGGAACACCGAUGGCGAAGGCAGAUCUCUGGGCCGUAACUGACGCUGAGGGGCGAAAGGGUGGGGAGCAAACAGGCUUAGAUACCCUGGUAGUCCACCCCGUAAACGUUGGGAACUAGUUGUGGGGUCCAUUCCACGGAUUCCGUGACGCAGCUAACGCAUUAAGUUCCCCGCCUGGGA